UACGAAGGGAGCUAGCGUUGUUCGGAAUUACUGGGCGUAAAGCGCACGUAGGCGGCUUUGUAAGUUAGAGGUGAAAGCCUGGAGCUCAACUCCAGAACUGCCCUUAAGACUGCAUCGCUCGAAUCUAGGAGAGGUGAGUGGAAUUCCGAGUGUAGAGGUGAAAUUCGUAGAUAUUCGGAAGAACACCAGUGGCGAAGGCGGCUCACUGGACUGGUAUUGACGCUGAGGUGCGAAAGCGUGGGGAGCAAACAGG
RNAcentral lists this ribosomal RNA (253 nucleotides) under uncultured bacterium. Its description in RNAcentral is "partial 16S ribosomal RNA". It matches the Rfam family "Bacterial small subunit ribosomal RNA", at positions 524 to 776 of the family's 1533-position model. The record is from RNAcentral.